CGCCCACUCUUCUCCCUCCCCUCCAGAAGUCGGAGUGCUGUUUUUGUUGUUGGUGAGAGGUGAGGGGAACAGCUGAUCCGUCUGUUGGGAGAACAGAUAUCUCAAGGCCAGGAUGGAAGAAUCACCACUAAGCCGGGCACCAUCCCGUGGUGGAGUCAACUUUCUCAAUGUAGCCCGGACCUACAUCCCCAACACCAAGGUGGAAUGUCACUACACCCUUCCCCCAGGCACCAUGCCCAGUGCCAGUGACUGGAUUGGCAUCUUCAAGGUGGAGGCUGCCUGUGUUCGGGAUUACCACACAUUUGUGUGGUCUUCCGUGCCUGAAAGUACAGCUGAUGGUUCCCCCAUUCACACCAGUGUCCAGUUCCAAGGUACAAGGGAAGAUGGAAAAUUGGGAGAGAGGAGCCAAGGGAGUGGAGGUUUGAAAGAAGGUAGUGGGCUCAGAAACAUUGAAAGUUAGGCACAAAGGACAAGGAAAAAUAAACGAAAAUAAAUAUAAUGAGAAUAUAUCCAACAGGGCUCAGCAGAUAGAGAAUCACGGGAUUAUCGCAGAAUCAGGGACAUAGAAACAGAAGGAACUUCAGAGGGCAUCUAGUCCCGUGUCCUACCCAA
Molecule: small RNA, 612 nt
Filed under: Pongo abelii (Sumatran orangutan)
Lineage: Eukaryota; Metazoa; Chordata; Mammalia; Primates; Hominidae
Description: retained intron
Source: RNAcentral